AGGCAAGAUGUUGGCAUAGCU
RNAcentral lists this microRNA (21 nucleotides) under Lytechinus variegatus (green sea urchin). RNAcentral's name for it is "lva-miR-31-5p". Its record names the gene lva-miR-31-5p. Lineage: Eukaryota; Metazoa; Echinodermata; Echinoidea; Temnopleuroida; Toxopneustidae. The record is from miRBase by way of RNAcentral. RNAcentral also lists the same sequence under 6 other names.